AUGUUAGACAACCAGCAUCCAUCUUUUAAGAACCGGGUGGAUCUGCAGGACAGACAGAUGAAGGAUGGAGACGUGUCUCUGAUUCUGAAGAGUGUGACGAUUAAUGACACUGGAACGUACAAGUGUUGUUUCUUCAUGAGGGGAACAAAUCGUGGGAAGAGAGCUAAUCUGAAGACUCACUCCAUCAACAUCAUCAGCCUGAGAGUUGAUCCUCCAGGUCAGACAGGAGGACACACAGAGGAUGGAGGGAAGGAGGCUAAAGGCAAGAAGGAUGGAUCUGUUGGACUGAAAGUUGGUCUCUCAGUUGCUGUUAUUGUUGUUGCUGCUGUUGUUGUUUUUUUGAUCUACCUAAAACAAUGUAACCAGAUUCAAUAUCAGGCUCCAGUUGAACUUCAGUCUGUUUGAAAUGUUUCCGUUUUUUUUCCAGCUGAUCUGAUUCUCUGUUUCAACUUCUCAGAGGUGACACUGAGCAUUCAGAGCAGGGGCUAUUUUAGCCCAUUUUGAAUCAAAGCACCCCCAAAGAUUUCUUUCUUUCUUUCUUUUUUUUUUUUUUACAAUAUUUUGUAAUAUUUUCUGUUUGUGGGACACACUACUAAAAACAUAAAAAGCAUACAGUACUUAAUUGAGAUGGAACAUUUUAACAACAAAAGUAUAGAUAGAUAUAUAUAGUUAGGUAGCAGUCAGACCAUGUUUCUUAUAGGCUGAAAAACAUUACACCAGGUAACCUGCAGUGUUGAAAACGUGUUUCCCGACUAUGUUUGCUACAAUCCGUCCUGCUCUGUAGAAAAAUCAUUGACAUUUGACCGUCCUGUUGCUCCCAUUGAAAUGUAUAUAACCUAUUUAAAAUCUAAAACUUAACAUUGUCCGUAGCUACUGUUGUUACCACUGUCCUGUUUGAAAUGCAAUGAGAGAAACUGGUUAUUUUGUCCUAUGUGCAUGUGCCGAUAUUAUGCAUGUGCCCAUUAACCUUAUAACUCCUGGUGUGUGUGUGUGUGUGUGUGUGUGUGUGUGUGUGUGUGUGUGUGUGUGUGUGUGUGUGUGUGUGUGUGUGUGUGUGUGUGAUCCAGGUAAACGUGUAAGAUUAAUAAAGGAUAAUGUUGGUUCAGUGUUUCAAUAUUUAUAUCCUUUAUUAGAUGUACAUGUGGUUUGGUCAUUUGCCUUUUGGUUGAAAGUACACUGAGAGAGGACUUUUUUAUUAGUGAUCUUUAUAGUAUUUUGUAUUCAAUUAGAUUUAAAAAUCUAUUUGUGUAUGAUUGUCAGUCCAAAGAGGGAGAGAGGAAAGAGGAGAACCUGAGGAGAAAGUACAAGGUCAGGAAGAACCAGGUAAGAAAACAGACAGGGAACAGUGACAGGCACAACAGAAACUGUUAAACUGACAAAGAAAAAAACAAACAAACUAAUUUUACUCAUAAAAUCUGGAAGUUGUGUCCUCCCUAUAUUAAAGCUGCUAUACAGAAUCUGCAAAACAAACUGGGUUGUCAGCCCUGGCACUGCAUUACCAUAUUGAACUUCAGUCAGAGGAAGUCACAGUUGCCAAAAACUUUUUGAAGCUCAAGAGUGAGGCUGGUGCCGUUCCAGAUAUGUUAACAUUGUACAAUCUUCUGGAUAAUCAGAUCUUCCCCACACUGAAAGCUGUUGUUCAGGUUGCCCUAACAAACCCAGUUAGCAGCUGUAGCUGUGAAAGGUCUUUUAGUGUCUUGAGUCAGCUCUAUACCUGGCUGAGAAGGACCAUGGGUCAAAGCAGACUCCAGCACCUGGCUGUGAUGUCAGUUGAGAAAGAGAUGCUUGAGAGACUUGACCACCAAAAUGUGAUAGACAGAUUUGCCAACCUCAAGGUGAGGCGACAUAGGUUAAAAGAAAGAAAAAUCUGCAGAGCCACAGUAGUAUCUGCAGUAAAGAUCUUUUCAUACAUUGUAUACAUUGUACCAGAGGCCAAGGUGUCUCCAUUUUUCUAAUUUUUUAAUAAUAUUUUGUACAUUUCAAGGACUCGUCUAUUUUUGGAGUGUAUUUUCUAUGUAUCUGUAUUAUAUUAUACAUACACAUUAAAAGUGAAUCUCUGUGCAAAAAAUGCGCUCAGUUUACUUCUUACUCACCAUGAGCAUCAUUCAUUAUUCUCCCCAGUAAUUAAGGUUAGGAUAUGUAUUUUUAAAAAAAAUUCCAAUCCAUUCUUCUUUUGCAGCAUUUAAAUAACCUUUAUCAGAUUUGAUGGUUUUGUUACAGACUUUAAAAAAGUGUUUUGCUUUUCUUUCACAAAUGUGGGGAUUAAAUUGUGUUAAAAUGUACAAAACAGUGAUGUCAUGUUUUGUGACGAGGAACAGGCACAGAGAGACUUGAUGAAUUUAAGAAUCUUA
Oreochromis niloticus (Nile tilapia) is the source of this 2351-nucleotide long non-coding RNA. The record is from Ensembl. NCBI's taxonomy places the organism in Eukaryota, Metazoa, Chordata, Actinopteri, Cichliformes, Cichlidae.